UUGUGCCAGCCGCCGCGGUAAUACGAAGGGGGCUAGCGUUGCUCGGAAUCACUGGGCGUAAAGGGCGCGUAGGCGGCCAUUUAAGUCGGGGGUGAAAGCCUGUGGCUCAACCACAGAAUUGCCUUCGAUACUGGGUGGCUUGAGUCCGGAAGAGGUUGGUGGAACUGUGAGUGUAGAGGUGAAAUUCGUAGAUAUUCGCAAGAACACCGGUGGCGAAGGCGGCCAACUGGUCCGGGACUGACGCUGAGGCGCGAAAGCGUGGGGAGC
RNAcentral lists this ribosomal RNA (267 nucleotides) under uncultured Hyphomicrobiales bacterium. RNAcentral describes it as "uncultured Rhizobiales bacterium partial 16S ribosomal RNA". It matches the Rfam family "Bacterial small subunit ribosomal RNA", at positions 503 to 769 of the family's 1533-position model. Lineage: Bacteria; Pseudomonadati; Pseudomonadota; Alphaproteobacteria; Hyphomicrobiales. The record is from RNAcentral.